Molecule: ribosomal RNA, 678 nt
Filed under: Paenibacillus turicensis
Lineage: Bacteria; Bacillati; Bacillota; Bacilli; Caryophanales; Paenibacillaceae
Description: bacterial SSU rRNA
Rfam family: Bacterial small subunit ribosomal RNA
Source: RNAcentral
AGUCGAGCGGACUUGAUGAGAAGCUUGCUUCUCUGAGAGUUAGCGGCGGACGGGUGAGUAACACGUAGGCAACCUGCCUGUAAGACUGGGAUAACUACCGGAAACGGUAGCUAAUACCGGAUAGGUGAUUUUCUCGCAUGAGGGAAUCAAGAAAGACGGAGCAAUCUGUCACUUACGGAUGGGCCUGCGGCGCAUUAGCUAGUUGGUGAGGUAAUGGCUCACCAAGGCGACGAUGCGUAGCCGACCUGAGAGGGUGAACGGCCACACUGGGACUGAGACACGGCCCAGACUCCUACGGGAGGCAGCAGUAGGGAAUCUUCCGCAAUGGACGAAAGUCUGACGGAGCAACGCCGCGUGAGUGAUGAAGGUUUUCGGAUCGUAAAGCUCUGUUGCCAGGGAAGAACGUCUUAGAGAGUAACUGCUCUAAGAGUGACGGUACCUGAGAAGAAAGCCCCGGCUAACUACGUGCCAGCAGCCGCGGUAAUACGUAGGGGGCAAGCGUUGUCCGGAAUUAUUGGGCGUAAAGCGCGCGCAGGCGGCUAUGUAAGUCUGGUGUAUAACCUCAGGGCUCAACCCUGGGUCGCACUGGAAACUGUGUAGCUUGAGUACAGAAGAGGAAAGUGGAAUUCCACGUGUAGCGGUGAAAUGCGUAGAGAUGUGGAGGAACACCAGUGGCGA